GACGAACGCUGGCGGCGUGCCUAAUACAUGCAAGUUGAGCGCUGAAGGUUGGUACUUGUACCAACUGGAUGAGCAGCGAACGGGUGAGUAACGCGUGGGGAAUCUGCCUUUGAGCGGGGGACAACAUUUGGAAACGAAUGCUAAUACCGCAUAAAAACUUUAAACACAAGUUUUAAGUUUGAAAGAUGCAAUUGCAUCACUCAAAGAUGAUCCCGCGUUGUAUUAGCUAGUUGGUGAGGUAAAGGCUCACCAAGGCGAGGAUACAUAGCCGACCGGAGAGGGUGAGCAGCCACAUUGGGAGGGAGACACGGCCCAAACGCCUACGGGAAGCAGCAGGAGGGAAACGUCGGGAAUGGGCGGAAGUCUGAGCGAGCAACGCCGCGGGAGGGAGGAAGGAUUUCGGGUCGGAAAACUCGGUUGGUGGGGAAGAAAGUGGGUGAGAGUGGGAAGCACAGCAAGUGACGGUAACUGGUCAGAAAGAGACGGCUAACUACGUG
RNAcentral lists this ribosomal RNA (497 nucleotides) under uncultured bacterium. Its description in RNAcentral is "partial 16S ribosomal RNA". It matches the Rfam family "Bacterial small subunit ribosomal RNA", at positions 28 to 507 of the family's 1533-position model. The record is from RNAcentral.